RNAcentral lists this RNase P RNA (414 nucleotides) under Eubacteriales Family XIII. Incertae Sedis bacterium. RNAcentral's name for it is "RNase P RNA component class A". It matches the Rfam family "Bacterial RNase P class A". From Rfam's summary of the family: Ribonuclease P (RNase P) is a ubiquitous endoribonuclease, found in archaea, bacteria and eukarya as well as chloroplasts and mitochondria. Lineage: Bacteria; Bacillati; Bacillota; Clostridia; Peptostreptococcales; Anaerovoracaceae. The record is from RNAcentral.
UGAGUAAGCCAGACGGUCGCGCGGCGGUUUUCCGCCGUGAGGAAAGUCCGGGCUCCAUCGGGCAAGGGUGCCGGAUAACGUCCGGCGAAGGCGACUUUAGGGAAAGUGCAACAGAAACACACCGCCGAAACAGGGGCUUUUGCCCGCUGUGGCAAGGGUGAAAUAGCGAGGUAAGAGCUCACUGCCCGCCGCGGUAACGCGGAGGGCGUGCAAACCCCACCCGGAGCAAGGUCAAACGGGAGGUACCCGCGCCGCGCGCGGGGCGGCGGCCCGUCGCAUCCCGAAAAUGGUGGACCGCAAGCGAACGGAGAUUAGGCCGUUCCGGAGGCCGACGGAAACGGCGGCCCAAGAUAGAUGAUCGUCGCCUGCCCGCAAGGGCAGGGCACAGAACCCGGCUUACGGCUUACUCACUUU